Pantherophis guttatus is the source of this 783-nucleotide long non-coding RNA. RefSeq lists it as uncharacterized. NCBI's taxonomy places the organism in Eukaryota, Metazoa, Chordata, Lepidosauria, Squamata, Colubridae. The record is from RefSeq and is a predicted model, not a curated record.
AGGAGAGCGGACUGGCUGCAGGCAAGGGGAGCGUUGGGGACGGCGGCUUGCAAAACAAAAAACAAAACCCCCACAAAAAAACCAACCAGCCUUCCCCGGUUCGGUCGGAUCGCCGAGCCUAGCCAGCCGGAAUGCGCCACACAUCGGAGACAAAGAAAAUGGCUUUCUCCAGAUAGGCUUUGUGGGGAUCCAGUAGCCUUGCAGCAUGGAGAAGUGCGGAACACCAAAGAAGGAAGAAUGAAUGCACCCAGAAUUGCUAAAAAAAAAAAAAAAAAAGUCAGAAAAGGGAAACCACUGGCUUUCCAAAGUUCAGCUGAAUCUGGAUAUAUGACUCCGCCACAAUGACUUGUUCCUCUAUUCUUUCUUAGGGUGUUAGCCACUCAAAAUCCCUCUUUUUUAAAAAAAUCGCCAUUGCCUAAAUCUUGUUGCUUUGGGUGCUGUUUUAGCAAUUGUUGACUGCAAUUGUUGACAGGUUGGUACAUGAUUCUUUUCAAGAAGAAAAACAAAACAAAACAUCCCUAAAAAAUGAAACCUUAAUUAGUUGUUGGAAAUGACUAUUUUUAUGUGGACAUAAAGUAGGACUGAAAUCAACAAGACUUUCUUCUAAGGAAGAUGUUAAGGCUGGAAAGGGAAGCGAAAGAAAUCAUUAUUUUCACUGCCCUAGAUCCAGAAAAGCAAACAAGUGAAAUUCGCUGUAAUAAAUGUUUUUGCCUCUUGUUGUAAACCCAUUCAUGCUUUCUCUCUCUGUGUGAAGUUGUAUGAAAUAAACAUUUAUGGGUCAUA